RNAcentral lists this ribosomal RNA (424 nucleotides) under uncultured prokaryote. RNAcentral's name for it is "bacterial SSU rRNA". It matches the Rfam family "Bacterial small subunit ribosomal RNA", at positions 355 to 796 of the family's 1533-position model. The record is from RNAcentral.
UGGGGAAUAUUGGACAAUGGGGGCAACCCUGAUCCAGCCAUGCCGCGUGAGCGAUGAAGGCCUUAGGGUUGUAAAGCUCUUUCACCGGUGACGAUGAUGACGGUAGCCGGAGAAGAAGCCCCGGCUAACUCCGUGCCAGCAGCCGCGGUAAUACGGAGGGGGCAAGCGUUGUUCGGAAUUACUGGGCGUAAAGGGCGCGCAGGCGGUCUGUUGCGUUAGGCGUGAAAGCCCUGGGCUCAACCCGGGAACUGCGCUUGAUACGGGCAGGCUUGAAGGCGGCAGAGGGUGGUGGAAUUCCCAGUGUAGAGGUGAAAUUCGUAGAUAUUGGGAAGAACACCAGUGGCGAAGGCGACUCACUGGACAGUUAUUGACGCUGAGGUGCGAAAGCGUGGGGAGCAAACAGGAUUAGAUACCCGCGUAGUCC